UCAUCACCACAUUCUACCCAAUUUUUUUUUUUUUUUGGAAUAUGAAAUAUAUCACUGAUGAAGAGCUGGAAUUACAGAUAAUCUUUUUGUAUAACACCAAAGAAUCCUGAAUCAGCAAGGAGAAAGUCAACAACAAAGUUACUGAAACUAAGAUGAGUAGCAGUAGUUAGUCAUGUACACUUGCUACAGAAAACAAACCAUCUGCUGUAUCUAAUCAUCACCACAUUCUACCCAAAAUAUUAUACAAAUUUCUGCCUAGACAAAUAACCC
This 270-nucleotide unclassified non-coding RNA is filed under the name Hevea brasiliensis (rubber tree). The record is from RNAcentral. Lineage: Eukaryota; Viridiplantae; Streptophyta; Magnoliopsida; Malpighiales; Euphorbiaceae.